UACAGAGGGUGCAAGCGUUAAUCGGAAUUACUGGGCGUAAAGAGCUCGUAGGCGGUCUGUCGCGUCGGCUGUGAAAUCCCGAGGCUCAACCUCGGGUCUGCAGUCGAUACGGGCAAACUAGAGUAUUGCAGGGGAGACUGGAAUUCCUGGUGUAGCGGUGAAAUGCGCAGAUAUCAGGAGGAACACCGGUGGCGAAGGCGGGUCUCUGGGCAAUAACUGACGCUGAGGAGCGAAAGCGUGGGGAGCGAACAGG
RNAcentral lists this ribosomal RNA (253 nucleotides) under uncultured bacterium. RNAcentral's name for it is "partial 16S ribosomal RNA". It matches the Rfam family "Bacterial small subunit ribosomal RNA", at positions 524 to 776 of the family's 1533-position model. The record is from RNAcentral.